RNAcentral lists this transfer RNA (64 nucleotides) under Epopella plicata. RNAcentral's name for it is "tRNA-Thr". Lineage: Eukaryota; Metazoa; Arthropoda; Thecostraca; Balanomorpha; Austrobalanidae. The record is from RNAcentral.
GUCUAUGUAAUUUAUACAAAAUACUGGUCUUGUAAAUCAGAAAUAGGUCUUCACCUCUUAGACU